ACUAGGAAAUGGCCGGACUAGACUUUGAACAUAUAGGCCUUUAGCACCAGUGUCCAUAGUUUAGGCCUCUGUACUAAACUAAUCACACCUUUUGUGUGGUUGCCUCUUACUGGAAUCUUCUUUCCCUCCAAAGCCCACCCCUCAGGGCGCAGCUCAGAUGCAGCCUCCUGCAUGACGCCGCCCUGAUCCUACUCCCACGGGUAAUAGGCUCUCUUCUGCUCUUGUGGGGCGGGGAAUAUGGGAAAACAUCAGAGCCGGUGGCACGGGAGUUUGGGGGACUCCAAGAUCAGUCAGCACUGGGCUGGAUGUGGUGGGAAGGCCCCAAGGCUUGUACUUGGAAGUCUGCACUUGUGUUGAGGUUGCAGAAAUUCUGGAAAGUUCAAGCUUUGAAGAAGGAAGCUGUCGUGUUGUUAGCUGCCAUAUGGAUAAGGAGCCAAGGGUCACCUCUGGCUGACAACUGACAACAAACUGAGGCCCCCAGUCUGGCAGCCUACAAGGAACUGAAUCCUGUCAACAACCCCAUGAGCUUAGAGGGCUGCGGAUUGCUGUUUCUUCACCCACCAAGGCUGGAGCUUCGUGACAGUCCAACUCAUCAGCACGCAGCACCGAUGGAAUCUAACACCCACCAGAGCAAAACAGAAAGUUUCCAAGUUUGUGAA
Long non-coding RNA from Suricata suricatta (meerkat), 659 nucleotides. RefSeq lists it as uncharacterized. The record is from RefSeq and is a predicted model, not a curated record. The transcript has 3 exons. NCBI's taxonomy places the organism in Eukaryota, Metazoa, Chordata, Mammalia, Carnivora, Herpestidae.